AAUCUCCCCCAAAUUCACCCCAAAAUCCAAUGGGAACCCCAAAAUCCCCAAAUUCACCCCAAAACUCACCUGGAACCCCCAAAUCCUCCAAAUUCACCCCAAAAUCCCCAAAUUCACCCCAAAAUUCACCCCAAAAUUCUAAAAUUCCCCAAAUCCACCCCAAAAUCCCCCAAAUUCACCCCAAAAUCCCCCUGGGACCCCCCCAAAAUCCCCUCCCAGGCUUCACCUGCGGGGUGGGCGGAGCUUCGGCGUCACCCCCAACAUCUGGAUGGGGGGGUCCCUCCACACCUGGAUCGGGGGGUUCCUCCACAUCUGGAUGGGGGGGCUCCUCCCCCUCCACAUCUGGAAUCCUGGGGGGCGGGAACAGCUGGGUGUCCACAUCUGGAACGCCGGGGGGCUCCUCCCCCUCCACAUCUGGAUCCCCGGGGGGCUCCUCCCCCUCCACAUCUGGAACACCGGGGGGCUCCGGGCCCCCCACAUCUGGAUGGGGGGGUUCCUCCUGCCCCACAUCUGGAAUCCUCGGGGGCGGGAACAGCUGGGUGGCCACAUCUGGAACGCCGGGGGGCUCCUCCCCCUCCACAUCUGGAUCCCUGGGGGUCACGAACAGCUGGGUGGCCACAUCUGGAUCCGGGCUCGCCACCCCUCCCCCCGCCGGGAUUUUGGGGCCUCUGGGGGCCGCAUUUGGGGGCAGGAACAGCUGGGUGGCCACAUCUGGAUCGGGGGAGGGCGGCCCCUCCGCCACAUCUGGAAGGCCGGGGCUUCCCGGGCUGCCAACAUCUGGGGAGGGCAGGAAGGGCUGGGUGGGCACAUCUGGAUCCGACUCCUCCUCCUCCUCCACAUCUGGAUCCGGCUCCUCCUCCUCCACAUCUGGAUCCGGCUCCUCCUCCUCCACAUCUGGAAUUCGGGGCGGCAGGAACAGCUGGGUGGCCACAUCUGGAUCCCACCCCUCCCCUCCCCCCGCCACAUCUGGAGCCCCGGGCGGCCCCGGGGCGAUCCGCCGCCUCUUGGGGGGCCGAACAUCUGGAUCCUCCUCCCCCUCCUCCACAUCUGGAGCUUCCGGGAGGUUUUGGGUCGUUUUGGGCCUUUCUGGGGGCUCCACAUCUGGAUCCUCCUCCUCCACGUCUGUGUCGCUCUCCACCCGGCACCGGAUUUUGGGGCUGGCAACAUCUGGAUCUGCAGCCACAUCUGGAAUUCCUGACAGGUCUUGGGUCAUUCUGAGCCUUUUUGGGGGCUCCACAUCUGGAUCCGCGGCCACAUCUGGAGUUCCUGGGAGGUUUUGGGUCAUCUUGGGGGGCUCCACAUCUGGAUCCGCGGCCACAUCUGGCGUCUCGGGCACCUUUUGGGUCACUCUGAGCCUUUCUGGGGACUCCACAUCUGGAUCCUCCCCCUCCACGUCCGUGUCACUCUCCACCCGGCACCAGAUUUUGGAGCUGACAACAUCUGGAUCCGCGGCCACAUCUGGAGUUUCCGGGACAUUUUGGGUCAUUCUGAGCCUUUUCGGGGGCUCCACAUCUGGAUCCUCCCCCUCUAUAUCCGUGUCGCUCUCCACCCGGCACCAGAUUUUGGGGCCGGCCACAUCUGGAUCCGGCUUUGGGGCCACAUCUGGAGUUCCUGGGACAUUUUGGGUCAUUCUGAGCCUUUUCGGGGGCUCCACAUCUGGAUCCUCCCCCUCUACAUCCGUGUCGCUCUCCACC
Long non-coding RNA from Cyanistes caeruleus (blue tit), 1694 nucleotides. The record is from Ensembl. Lineage: Eukaryota; Metazoa; Chordata; Aves; Passeriformes; Paridae.